RNAcentral lists this long non-coding RNA (382 nucleotides) under Rattus norvegicus (Norway rat). RNAcentral's name for it is "long non-coding RNA NONRATT017092". Lineage: Eukaryota; Metazoa; Chordata; Mammalia; Rodentia; Muridae. The record is from RNAcentral.
UCAGCUCUGCCCACCGUGCCUGGUUAACCUGGCUCUUCCCGUCCACAGGUGACCAGAAUGGAGCUGUGGCCCGGGGCCUGGACGGCGCUGCUGCUGCUGCUCCUCCUCCUGCUGUCCACCCUGUGGUUCUGCAGCUCCAGUGCCAAGUAUUUCUUCAAGAUGGCCUUCUACAAUGGUUGGAUCCUCUUCCUGGCAAUACUCGCGAUCCCUGUGUGCGCCGUUCGAGGACGCAAUGUCGAGAACAUGAAGAUCUUGCGUCUGCUGCUGCUCCACGUCAAAUACUUGUAUGGGAUCCGAGUGGAGGUGCGGGGGGCUCAGCACUUCCCUCCCACACAGCCCUACGUUGUUGUCUCCAACCACCAGAGUUCCCUCGACCUGCUUG